UACGUAGGGUGCAAGCGUUGUCCGGAAUUAUUGGGCGUAAAGAGCUCGUAGGCGGUCUGUCGCGUCUGCUGUGAAAACUCAGGGCUUAACCCUGAGCUUGCAGUGGGUACGGGCAGACUAGAGUGCGGUAGGGGAGACUGGAAUUCCUGGUGUAGCGGUGAAAUGCGCAGAUAUCAGGAGGAACACCGGUGGGCGAAGGCGGGGUCUCUGGGCCGUAACUGACGCUGGAGGAG
Molecule: ribosomal RNA, 233 nt
Filed under: uncultured bacterium
Lineage: Bacteria
Description: partial 16S ribosomal RNA
Rfam family: Bacterial small subunit ribosomal RNA
Source: RNAcentral